AACGAACGCUGGCGGCAUGCCUAACACAUGCAAGUCGAACGAGACCUUCGGGUCUAGUGGCGCACGGGUGCGUAACGCGUGGGAACCUGCCCUUAGGUUCGGAAUAACUCCCCGAAAGGGGUGCUAAUACCGGAUAAUGUCUUCGGACCAAAGAUUUAUCGCCUUUGGAUGGGCCCGCGUUGGAUUAGCUAGUUGGUAGGGUAAAAGCCUACCAAGGCGACGAUCCAUAGCUGGUCUGAGAGGAUGAUCAGCCACACUGGGACUGAGACACGGCCCAGAAUCCUACGGGAGGCAGCAGUGGGGAAUAUUGUACAAUGGGCGAAAGCCUGAUCCAGCAAUGCCGCGUGAGUGAUGAAGGCCUUAGGGUUGUAAAGCUCUUUUACCCGGGAUGAUAAUGACAGUACCGGGAGAAUAAGCUCCGGCUAACUCCGUG
This 433-nucleotide ribosomal RNA is filed under the name uncultured bacterium. RNAcentral's name for it is "partial 16S ribosomal RNA". It matches the Rfam family "Bacterial small subunit ribosomal RNA", at positions 29 to 507 of the family's 1533-position model. The record is from RNAcentral.